RNAcentral lists this ribosomal RNA (320 nucleotides) under uncultured Bacilli bacterium. RNAcentral describes it as "SSU rRNA". It matches the Rfam family "Bacterial small subunit ribosomal RNA", at positions 8 to 318 of the family's 1533-position model. The record is from RNAcentral. Lineage: Bacteria; Bacillati; Bacillota; Bacilli.
AGAGUUUGAUCCUGGCUCAGGACGAACGCUGGCGGCGUGCCUAAUACAUGCAAGUCGAGCGAAUCUUGAGGGGCUUGCCCCUUGAGAUUAGCGGCGGACGGGUGAGUAACACGUGGGCAACCUGCCUGUAAGACUGGGAUAACACCGGGAAACCGGUGCUAAUACCGGAUAAUUCUUCACCUCUCAUGAGGUGAAGCUGAAAGUCGGUUUCGGCUGACACUUACAGAUGGGCCCGCGGCGCAUUAGCUAGUUGGUGAGGUAACGGCUCACCAAGGCGACGAUGCGUAGCCGACCUGAGAGGGUGAUCGGCCACACUGGGA